This 253-nucleotide ribosomal RNA is filed under the name uncultured bacterium. RNAcentral describes it as "partial 16S ribosomal RNA". It matches the Rfam family "Bacterial small subunit ribosomal RNA", at positions 524 to 776 of the family's 1533-position model. The record is from RNAcentral.
UACAGAGGUCUCAAGCGUUGUUCGGGUUCAUUGGGCGGAAAGGGUGCGUAGGUGGCGCUGUAAGUCGGGUGUGAAAUUUCGGAGCUUAACUCCGAAACUGCAUUCGAUACUGCGGUGCUUGAGGACUGGAGAGGAGACUGGAAUUCAUGGUGUAGCAGUGAAAUGCGUAGAGAUCGGGAGGAACAUCAGUUGCGAAGGCGGCUCUCUGGACCAGUACUGACGCUGAGGCACGAAAGCGUGGGGAGCAAACAGG